Molecule: long non-coding RNA, 559 nt
Organism: Mytilus californianus (California mussel)
Lineage: Eukaryota; Metazoa; Mollusca; Bivalvia; Mytilida; Mytilidae
Exons: 4
Source: RefSeq, a predicted model, not a curated record
AUGUAAUCAUUAGGUAACAAUGCCAGCCCAUCUACUACUUCAACAUCAUCACUAUCCCCUUUACGAUGUUUCAAUACUUACCGAUGUAAUCAUUAGGUAACAAUGCCAGCCCAUCUACUACUUCAACAUCAUCACUAUCCCCUUUACGAUGUUUCAAUACUUACCGAUGUAAUCAUUAGGUAACAAUGCCAGCCCAUCUACUACUUCAACAUCAUCACUAUCCCCUUUACGAUGUUUCAAUACUUACCGAUGUGAUCAUUAGGUAACAAUGCCAGCCCAUCUACUACUUCAACAUCAUCACUAUCCCCUUUACGAUGUUUCAAUACUUACCGAUGUAAUCAUUAGGUAACAAUGCCAGCCCAUCUACUACUUCAACAUCAUCACUAUCCCCUUUACGAUGUUUCAAUACUUACCGAUGUAAUCAUUAGGUAACAAUGCCAGCCCAUCUACUACUUCAACAUCAUCACUAUCCCCUUUACGAUGUUUCAAUACUUACCGAUGUAAUCAUUAGGUAACAAUGCCAGCCCAUCUACUACUUCAGCAUCAUCACUAUCCCCUU